GAGAACAGGUAUUUUAUAAAUUUUCAUCAUAUGAGAUGAUGGGAAUUUGUAAAGAACCUUUAUAAAUUUCCAUCAUCACAUAUUGAUUGAUUUUAUUAUUUAAUAAUCGGGAUUUAAAAAAAAAUAACGUGGUGAUGUCCGUGAAAAAUCAGUGAAAAGAAAAACGAAACGCGUAAUUUGUAUUUCGCCACCUCAUUAAUGCGUGCCAGGCAAUUUUUAAGAAAGCUGAAAGCUUUCCAUCAAAAGUUGGGAUGUUUCGAUGGUGUCGUGACGUCAUCAGAUAUACAUAAAUGUUUCUAGUUACAUUCAUCAAUGACGGUAGCGAGCGGUGACGACGCCUUCUUCUUCUUUAGCGAUGGAGAGUGUCAUGCGAAGAAUCCGACUUCGUCCGAAAUCUCCGCCCUAAACCUAUCUCGAACCUCACGGGAUCUUUAUCACGCGAGAUUACCGCGUGAAGUUAUUUAAGUUUAUCUCACGCAUUUCCGGGUGAGAUGGAGCUGAUGAGAAGUGAUUACCGGCAACUCGUCUCCGCCCGUUUUCUUACGCAAACACGACGACAAAUGGAGAAUUUUGCUAAGUUGCUGCCGUAUCGCCGAAAACUACUUUUGAUGACGACAAAAAUUAGUAUAAUUUUGCAAGAAAACUAUUUGAAAAAUAGCAAAUUAACGGGUUUUUCGCCAUGGGAUCGUCCUAUAGUCAACGCAACGUGGCUGUGCAAGCAGUAGCUAACUGUUUGAUCAGACGUUCCUUUUUUUUUUUAUAUAUACAUAUAUUCCGGAG
This 780-nucleotide long non-coding RNA is filed under the name Androctonus crassicauda. Lineage: Eukaryota; Metazoa; Arthropoda; Arachnida; Scorpiones; Buthidae. The record is from RNAcentral.